GGAUUAUUGAGACUGCGGGAUAGUGGACACAAUCUUUUCCAAUAACCAUCAACAUUGCCGCGAUGAAUGUAAGGGUAUGGAGCACGCCUAGGAUCCGGUCUUUAUGGUCCAUUACUUCCCCGUUCUUUAUCACAUUGGCCGUAUUGCAGCCCAUCUAGGAAUUUCCUGUAUCUUGCUUUGAAAGGCAAGUCUUUCUUCACAAGGCGCCCUCUUGAACUCCUGUCUGUUGCAUUGAAAAAGUGAGUCUUCUUUUACGAAGUGUCCUUUUGCCUGUCAGGUCCCCUUUCCAGUUUAGGUCCAUGAAAUCCCGCUAUUUUGUACAGGAUCGGAACGACGAUGUCCUAUCUGGGCUCUCGGGGCUCUCGAUCGCGGGAUCCUUUUGCACCGAUGACUGUAGCUCUUUGAACGAUCUCCUCAGCGGAACGGCUCCUUUAGGAGCCUCCUAAAAGAGUCCCUUCUUGAGACUGUCUUUUCCUAAGCGGGUCCCCUCUCAACAUUCUUCUAGUAGGCUAUAGUCGUUUUAUACCAUCUUAGAUCUUUCUCUGGUCUACUCCUAUAAUCGGUUCUAUGGGCCAAGUGUUCCCGCCUAGGAAUAAUAUUUAACUACUUCUCCUGUUUUGGGAGUCAAUGCCCUGCUGAUAAGCUCUGCCAUUAACUGGAGUAGAAUUUCCAUUAGAACUGGAGUGGACAUCUGACACUUGCUUUUUGCCGAACUGCAUUUAACUCACUUGACUCAUAUUCUCUGCUUCAGAUUCUGGCUGUUUCAUAGGUGAAUCUUCAGAGUCUUAUGAUCUUACAUAGAGGGUGUACGUGAGAACACUUACUAUUAAUUUCAUCCGUAGCCUUUCUUAGCUCUAAGUAAUAUACAUAUUUUACAAAAAUUAAAAAGGCAAACAUUCAUUGGAUAUGUCACAAGAAAAAGUAUGCGAAAAAGCAGCAAAGUUGCCAGCGACAUUGGCGGUUAAAGCAAUUGCAUAACACUUUGAAUACUUAUUGGUACAAGCAAAGAAAAUGUAUACUCUUUU
This is a long non-coding RNA of Drosophila simulans, 1025 nucleotides long. RefSeq lists it as uncharacterized. The transcript is spliced from 2 exons. NCBI's taxonomy places the organism in Eukaryota, Metazoa, Arthropoda, Insecta, Diptera, Drosophilidae. The record is from RefSeq and is a predicted model, not a curated record.